RNAcentral lists this ribosomal RNA (253 nucleotides) under uncultured bacterium. RNAcentral's name for it is "partial 16S ribosomal RNA". It matches the Rfam family "Bacterial small subunit ribosomal RNA", at positions 524 to 776 of the family's 1533-position model. The record is from RNAcentral.
UACGUAGGGUGCAGGCGUUAAUCUGAAUUACUGGGCGUAAAGCGUGCGCAGGCGGUCUUUUAAGUCAGAUGUGAAAUCCCCGGGCUUAACCUGGGAACUGCGUUUGUAACUGAAAGGCUAGAGUGUGGCAGAGGGGGGUGGAAUUCCACGUGUAGCAGUGAAAUGCGUAGAGAUGUGGAGGAACACCGAUGGCGAAGGCAGCCCCCUGGGCUAACACUGACGCUCAUGCACGAAAGCGUGGGGAGCAAACAGG